GGGAGGCUGAAGGGGCCCCUAUGAGGUUCAGACUGGGUGGACAGUUGGGCACCUGGCUAUCCAGGCCAAGGGCAGGUUUGCAGAGAGAGCAGAGGCCUGGAGCUGCUCUGAGCCUGGUUGUGGGGAGAGGUGCAGCCUCCUUCUCAGCCCCACUAUGAAUCAGGGACUCUGGUGAGCAUGUCCAUGGCCUUGCAGCCACAGUAGGAGGGGUGAGGGAUGGCAAGGAGGGGCAGCUUUGAGUGAUUCCAGGAGGGGAGAACAGGGGCAGGAAGAUGGUGGAGACAGGAUGGGGCCUGGAAACACCAGCUUCCUCUCUCCAGGGCUGGGCCACAGGAAAUCCAACCCUCAUGCUUCCCAAGGUGCUUCCUGCAGAUAAGUGGGCUUCCGACCGCCCUUUCCUGCUCCCCCCUUUCCCUACCCCUCCCAUCCUGCUCCAGCCCCAGGGGACCCUGAGCUCUCCCACUCAGUCCAGGCCAGUGGCCUUGGGAAGAGCCUGGGGCAGGGUGGUGGUGGGGAGGUCUGGGCAUCCUGGGGCCACACUUCUAGGCAGGGACGGUCCGCCCAGGCUCGGGGAGAAAGCAGACCAGACCACAGACAACGCUGGAGAUUCGGCUCUUCGGGGACCCCCUCCUCGCCGCUUCUUCCCCGGUGGUCCACGGAUGCUCUUCCGCAGCCAAAGGGCGGUGCGGCCCUCGCUGCUCAGCCACUACCCCCACACCGAGGCCUAGGACUCCCCACACCCCCGGCGCAGCCCCUAAGGGCCCCCACCCUGCUGCGCGGCCCUCACCCUUCGAACGAAACCCUUCCUCACCCCAGGACCCCACAGAGAUUCCCCCGCCCUCGGCUGGCCCUGAGCCCUCUCGGCCCCGCCUCCAGCGCAGCCCCCUUGCCACCCCCGCGCUUCUCUCCCGGCUCAGGCCCCCUCCCCCGCCGCCCCGCCCCGGGAAGGCAGGCGCCGAGCUGAGCCGGGGCCGAUGCAGCUGAGCCGCGCCGCCGCGCCGCCGCCGCCGCCGCCGCCUCUGCGGAGCCCUCGGCGCCGCUGUCCUCCGCGCCGGCCCCGGCCCGGCCCCCCCGGCCCAUCCCGCACAGCGCGGCCGACGGUCCCGGCGGGGCAGGGGGCCGGGGGCCGCGCGGAGUCCCGGUGCGCCCCGCUCCUGGCCGCUCCGCCCCGGCCCCGGCGCGGAUGACGCCCCGGGCCAUGCCGUGGUCGUGCGCGUCGGCAUCCCGGACCUGCAGCAGACGGUGAGCCUCGCCGCUCGGGUCCCGACAGCAUCCCCCGCCCUCCUCGCCCAACCCCCCACCGGCGCGCUCUGAGCUGGGAGCGGGAGACCCCAGGCCCGCGG
RNAcentral lists this long non-coding RNA (1343 nucleotides) under Camelus dromedarius (Arabian camel). Its description in RNAcentral is "lncRNA (ENSCDRG00005003938.1)". Lineage: Eukaryota; Metazoa; Chordata; Mammalia; Artiodactyla; Camelidae. The record is from RNAcentral.